GUGUUCGCUUCGGCAGCACAUACACUAAAAUUGGAACGAUACAGAGAUUAGGAUGGCCCCUGUGCAAGGAUGAUACGCAAAUUUUGUGAAGCGUUCCAUAUUUUU
This is a small nuclear RNA of Saimiri boliviensis boliviensis (Bolivian squirrel monkey), 105 nucleotides long. Lineage: Eukaryota; Metazoa; Chordata; Mammalia; Primates; Cebidae. The record is from RefSeq and is a predicted model, not a curated record.